RNAcentral lists this long non-coding RNA (1163 nucleotides) under Zea mays. Its description in RNAcentral is "long non-coding RNA (ZMAY_LNC000107)". The record is from RNAcentral. Lineage: Eukaryota; Viridiplantae; Streptophyta; Magnoliopsida; Poales; Poaceae.
CUAUAUAGAAAAAGUAUAUUGAAAAGAUAGUUUCUUGGCACAAUAUCGUAGACUACAGAAACUAUUGAUGGUGGUUUCGAAUUGAGUUUAACAGUCAAAAGGCCUCUUGGUACAGUUAGGGGUGAAAACGAACGGAAAAAAUCCCGUUCCGACCCGUACCGUUUUCUACAUUUGACCCGAUCGUUUCCGUAUUUACGAAAAAAUAUGGAAACGAGACGGAAACGGGAGAGAGCUUAUUCCGUCCGUUUUUGUGGGAUCCCGUUUUUCCGGAUUGAACCCGUAUUUUAUUCCGUAUUUGAUAAAUAUGGGACGAGUCUAAGGGUGUGUUUGGUUUGACUUUUGGCUUUUGGCUUUUGAUUCCUAAAAGACAAAAGUCAACCAAAGGGUUAGAUCUAGGAAGCAGCUUUUUCUAAAAGCUGGCUUUCUCACAGUGCAAAUCUGAAAGCACCCCUGAACCUGCUUUUAGUGGCUUUUCGAAUGGAACUGUGAAAACAUAUAUCGAAGAACUUUUAACGACUUUUAGUGGUUUCCACCAAACAGUUUUUAGCUUUUUAACGGCUUACAGCCUACAGCAGCUUUUUCCACAGCUCACAGCCCACAGCAACUUUUUUCACAGCCACAGCCCAACCAAACAGACCCUAAUAUGCAUCAGUGUAUAAACUAAAUCCUCGUGUAUUUAGGUGACAAAUUAUAGCACAAUUGACCAUUGUAACCACCAGCUCUUUUCAAAUGACAAGUGAUCUAAAGUCUUAAACAAUAUCGGAUGUAGCUAAAUGUACACAUUUAGCAACCAAACAACAAUAGAAUGUUGCCUCUCUAUAUCUAUUUGGUUUAUGUUAUUGUUCUGCCAAUCAAUCACUAGUAAACAUCAAUAACAUUUCUAUUUGUAUUAAAUUAUGUGUUUCCGUUAGUAUUUUCGUUUCCGUUCGUUUUCGCAAUUCCGUUUAUCCCGCUCCCGUUUCCGUUCCCGACUAUUCCGGACCCGAUCCCGUUUCCAGUGAUAAAAUACGGAUACGAAAACGGGAGAGGGGUUUUUCCGUCCGUUUCCGUCCGUUUUCAUCCCUAGGUACAGUGUCUUCCCAAUGUACCUUUUGCAUUAUUAAUUAACCCACUCAUUUCUUUUCCACUAGUAAAUGUUUUAAACUAGUGGAGUCAUAUCUGAG